RNAcentral lists this ribosomal RNA (480 nucleotides) under uncultured bacterium. RNAcentral describes it as "bacterial SSU rRNA". It matches the Rfam family "Bacterial small subunit ribosomal RNA", at positions 51 to 509 of the family's 1533-position model. The record is from RNAcentral.
ACACAUGACAAGGUCGGAGGGGCGAGCAUGACGAUAGUCUUGCUAUUGUUGAGUGGCGGACCGGCGACGACGGGUGAGUAACACGUAUUACCAACCUUCCCGUUACUAAGGGAUAACCCGUUGAAAGACGGCCUAAUACCUUAUGUAGUCGUUCGAUGGCAUCAGAAGACGACGAAAGAUUUAUCGGUAACGGAUGGGGAUGCGCCCGAUUAGUUAGUUGGUGAGGUAACGGCUCACCAAGGCGACGAUCGGUAGGGGUUCUGAGAGGAAGGUCCCCCACAUUGGAACUGAGACACGGUCCAAACUCCUACGGGAGGCAGCAGUGAGGAAUAUUGGUCAAUGGACGAGAGUCUGAACCAGCCAAGUAGCGUGCAGGAAGACGGCCCUAUGGGUUGUAAACUGCUUUUAUACGGGGAUAAAAGAUAUCACGUGUGGUAUAUUGCAGGUACCGUAUGAAUAAGGACCGGCUAAUUCCGUGCC